UUCAACAUACCUUCAUCCAAACUUCAAAGUCACUAUCCAAACCAUUGGAAGACCUAACACAUUAUUUUCGUCCAGUUUUAGGCAGGUCUAAACAAUGAACUUCGUGCCUUGAAAUGUAAGCUGAACAAACUUUGCACCAUGGUCGUGCCUUGAAAUGUAAGCUGAACAAACUUUGCACCAUGGUCGUGCCAUUAAGAAUGAAGAAAUGAAAACGCCAAUUUAUCCUUCCUAUCGAUGUCAAACUAACGAAAACUGUAAAAAAUUAUCAAUUGACUAACAUUGUGACC
Molecule: long non-coding RNA, 287 nt
Filed under: Cucumis sativus (cucumber)
Lineage: Eukaryota; Viridiplantae; Streptophyta; Magnoliopsida; Cucurbitales; Cucurbitaceae
Description: long non-coding RNA (CSAT_LNC002120)
Source: RNAcentral